This is a non-coding RNA of Thalassophryne amazonica, 619 nucleotides long. The record is from the annotation of a RefSeq genome assembly. NCBI's taxonomy places the organism in Eukaryota, Metazoa, Chordata, Actinopteri, Batrachoidiformes, Batrachoididae.
GGCACAAGAACCUGUAAAGUUUUACAAAUCUUAGAAACACAGAUCAGAAAUCACAAAAUUUUACCUUUGAUUAGAAAACAGAAAACAUGAUUGUCUGGCAGUUCUUCUUUCUCGUUUCUGUUUAUGGGGUUUCAGCUGAGAUCAAACUGGAACAGUCGUCCUCUGAGGUAAAGAGACCUGGAGAGACAGUGAAGAUGUCAUGUACCAUGUCUGGUUACAGCAUGACGGAGUUCUACAUUCACUGGAUACGACAGAGGACAGGUGGACCUCUGGAGUGGAUUGGACGGAUGAACACAGGCAACAACUCUCCUCGCUAUGCCGGCUCCUUUCAGAGCCGCUUUACCAUGACUGAAGAUGUGCCAAGAAGCACUCAGUACCUGGAGGUCAUGACCCUGACAGCACAAGAUUCUGCUGUUUAUUUCUGUGCUCGAGAAGCACAGUGACUGAAGACAGUGAGACAGCUGUCUGAAAACCUCCACACAGUCAUCUCUCUGACAUCUGUAUCAGGGAGACAAAUAACACAGAUGUCAGAUGUCACUGCUGCUGUUUUCCUGAAAAACAUAAGAACAGUCCAUGUACUUGAGUAUGUUUUGAAAUUAAUAUUUCUAUGUCUUUCUUU